CUGGAACUUUUUAUCUUAAACUGCGACAAUAGAUGACGAUUAUUAACAUCACCGAUAGGGGUCAAUAGGGAUCGAGAAAUAGAGCAAAACGGAGAAAAGUUUAAUUGGUUUAGGUUAUAAGGUACUUUAGUAUUAAGUUCACACUAAAUUGAUAUGUAAGAAUAAUAAUCAAGUACCAUCAGUGUCCAACGAAGCGAGAGUUUUUGCAACCUGUUUAGAAAUGCGGUUAAUCAUACAUAAUGAAAACAAGCCUAAGUAAAUUUUCAUGAUCGUCAAGUGAAAUCAAUAUAUCAGUCUGGAGACAAUUAAAGAAUAUAAAUAUUAAGUUGCUUCGAUCAUCUGCCAUAAAUAUGAUCUGAUUAUAACUAGGCUUUAUAACGCAGUGUCAAAUUUAUUAUUUGUAUACGAAUGUUUCAUAAAUAAGUAUCUUUAAGUAUCAGAAUGUCUUAAAUUCUUU
Long non-coding RNA from Monomorium pharaonis (pharaoh ant), 457 nucleotides. RefSeq lists it as uncharacterized. The record is from RefSeq and is a predicted model, not a curated record. NCBI's taxonomy places the organism in Eukaryota, Metazoa, Arthropoda, Insecta, Hymenoptera, Formicidae. The transcript has 2 exons.